Molecule: ribosomal RNA, 521 nt
Filed under: Bifidobacterium pseudocatenulatum
Lineage: Bacteria; Bacillati; Actinomycetota; Actinomycetes; Bifidobacteriales; Bifidobacteriaceae
Description: bacterial SSU rRNA
Rfam family: Bacterial small subunit ribosomal RNA
Source: RNAcentral
CGGGUGGUAAUGCCGGAUGCUCCGACUCCUCGCAUGGGGUGUCGGGAAAGAUUUCAUCGGUAUGGGAUGGGGUCGCGUCCUAUCAGGUAGUCGGCGGGGUAACGGCCCACCGAGCCUACGACGGGUAGCCGGCCUGAGAGGGCGACCGGCCACAUUGGGACUGAGAUACGGCCCAGACUCCUACGGGAGGCAGCAGUGGGGAAUAUUGCACAAUGGGCGCAAGCCUGAUGCAGCGACGCCGCGUGCGGGAUGACGGCCUUCGGGUUGUAAACCGCUUUUGAUCGGGAGCAAGCCUUCGGGUGAGUGUACCUUUCGAAUAAGCACCGGCUAACUACGUGCCAGCAGCCGCGGUAAUACGUAGGGUGCAAGCGUUAUCCGGAAUUAUUGGGCGUAAAGGGCUCGUAGGCGGUUCGUCGCGUCCGGUGUGAAAGUCCAUCGCUUAACGGUGGAUCUGCGCCGGGUACGGGCGGGCUGGAGUGCGGUAGGGGAGACUGGAAUUCCCGGUGUAACGGUGGAAUGUG